GUUACAAUGGCAGGUACAGAGGGGUGCUACCGGGUGACCGGAUGCCGAUCUCGAAAACCUGUCCCAGUUCGGACUGGAGUCUGCAACCCGACUCCACGAAGUUGGAUUCGCUAGUAAUCGCGCAUCAGCCAUGGCGCGGUGAAUACGUUCCCGGGCCUUGUACACACCGCCCGUCAAGCCAUGGGAGCCGGGGGCGCCUGAAGUCCGGGACCGCGAGGACCGGCCUAGGGCGAAACUGGUGACUGGGGCUAAGUCGUAACAAGGUAGC
This 268-nucleotide ribosomal RNA is filed under the name uncultured bacterium. RNAcentral describes it as "partial 16S ribosomal RNA". It matches the Rfam family "Bacterial small subunit ribosomal RNA", at positions 1224 to 1500 of the family's 1533-position model. The record is from RNAcentral.